RNAcentral lists this ribosomal RNA (468 nucleotides) under uncultured bacterium. Its description in RNAcentral is "partial 16S ribosomal RNA". It matches the Rfam family "Bacterial small subunit ribosomal RNA", at positions 28 to 507 of the family's 1533-position model. The record is from RNAcentral.
GACGAACGCUGGCGGCGUGCUUAACACAUGCAAGUCGAACGGAAAGGCCCUGCUUUUGUGGGGUGCUCGAGUGGCGAACGGGUGAGUAACACGUGAGUAACCUGCCCUUGACUUUGGGAUAACUUCAGGAAACUGGGGCUAAUACCGGAUAGGAGCUCCUGCUGCAUGGUGGGGGUUGGAAAGCUUCGGCGGUUGGGGAUGGAUUCGCGGCUUAUCAGCUUGUUGGUGGGGUAGUGGCUUACCAAGGCCUUGACGGGUAGCCGGCCUGAGAGGGUGACCGGCCACAUUGGGACUGAGAUAAGGCCCAGACUCCUAAGGGAGGCAGCAGUGGGGAAUAUUGCACAAUGGGCGGAAGCCUGAUGCAGCAACGCCGCGUGCGGGAUGACGGCCUUCGGGUUGUAAACCGCUUUCGCCUGUGACGAAGCGUGAGUGACGGUAAUGGGUAAAGAAGCACCGGCUAACUACGUG